Molecule: long non-coding RNA, 663 nt
Organism: Carassius auratus (goldfish)
Lineage: Eukaryota; Metazoa; Chordata; Actinopteri; Cypriniformes; Cyprinidae
Exons: 4
Source: RefSeq, a predicted model, not a curated record
UCACUUUUUUUUUUUUUAGGUAAGUUUAGUCUAUUAAAUUACACAAAUAGUACAUUAAAGUGUUCCUGACACUUUAUUUCAUGUAAAUUAUACACUUUCGUUUAAUAUUUACUUUAUAGAAAUGGUUUAGCGUCGUCAGAAAAAGUCCUUUAGCAUCUCAAAGAAGUGCCAGAAAACCUCUAUGACGCAGGAGAAGUUCCUGAUUUUAACAUUUCUGAAGGGAGCUGCUGACAGAGAGGAUGAAAACAUACACAUUUUGAUGUCCACGCUGUAGGAGCAUUACUAAAUAAGUUCUUCCAUGCUGAUGGCUGUGCUCUAGUCAUAUCUCCUGUCGAAGAACAUUUUUAGACAUUAUGAACCAUGAAUAAGUUUAGCUCCAACCCCAGUUAAGCAGACCUGAGCAGCUGAUCAAGGAUCAGCAGAAACUCUGCAGAACGGUGGUCCUCCAGCCCAGGACUGGACACCAGUGUUGUAAGUCAUUCUGUCUCUUUAUAGUGCAUGUUCAGGACAUAUUGCAGGAGAUCUCAACAUUGUCUCUCAAGGUCCACUUACAUGCAGAGUUUUGCUCCAACCUGCAGUGCACCUGAACACAUUAAUCGAGGUCUAGCUAUUAGUGUUGUCACAGUACCAAUUUCAGUACAAAAGCAAAACACAAAAACAUGC